UCGAGAAUUUUGGGCAAUGAGCGAAAGCUUGACCCAGCAAUGCCGCGUGCGGGAUGAAGGUCUUCGGAUUGUAAACCGCUGUCAUGAGGGACGAAAUUUGACGGUACCUCAAGAGGAAGCCACGGCUAACUACGUGCCAGCAGCCGCGGUAAUACGUAGGUGGCGAGCGUUGUUCGGAUUUAUUGGGCGUAAAGGGUCCGCAGGGGGUUUAUUAAGUUUGAUGUGAAAUCCCGGAGCUCAACUCCGGAACUGCAUUGAAAACUGAUGAACUCGAGUAUCGGAGAGGAGAUUGGAAUUCCAGGUGUAGCGGUGGAAUGCGUAGAUAUCUGGAAGAACACCAAAAGCGUAGGCAGAUCUCUGGACGAUUACUGACCCUCAGGGACGAAAGCAUGGGGAGCAAACA
This 403-nucleotide ribosomal RNA is filed under the name uncultured bacterium. Its description in RNAcentral is "partial 16S ribosomal RNA". It matches the Rfam family "Bacterial small subunit ribosomal RNA", at positions 355 to 774 of the family's 1533-position model. The record is from RNAcentral.